Molecule: transfer RNA, 93 nt
Filed under: Candidatus Scatavimonas merdigallinarum
Lineage: Bacteria; Bacillati; Bacillota; Clostridia; Eubacteriales; Oscillospiraceae
Also listed under: 4 other names
Description: tRNA-Ser
Rfam family: tRNA
About the family: Transfer RNA (tRNA) molecules are approximately 80 nucleotides in length. Their secondary structure includes four short double-helical elements and three loops (D, anti-codon, and T loops).
Source: RNAcentral
GGAGAGAUGUCCGAGCUGGCCGAAGGAGCAUGAUUGGAAAUCAUGUGUACGGCUACCGCCGUACCUGGGGUUCGAAUCCCCAUCUCUCCGCCA